RNAcentral lists this ribosomal RNA (465 nucleotides) under uncultured bacterium. RNAcentral's name for it is "partial 16S ribosomal RNA". It matches the Rfam family "Bacterial small subunit ribosomal RNA", at positions 28 to 507 of the family's 1533-position model. The record is from RNAcentral.
GACGAACGCUGGCGGCGUGCUUAACACAUGCAAGUCGAACGGAAAGGCCCCCUUGUGGGGUACUCGAGUGGCGAACGGGUGAGUAACACGUGAGUAACCUACCCUUGACUUUGGGAUAACUUCAGGAAACUGGGGCUAAUACCGGAUAGGAGCUCCUGCUGCAUGGUGGGGGUUGGAAAGUUUCGGCGGUUGGGGAUGGACUCGCGGCUUAUCAGCUUGUUGGUGGGGUAGUGGCUCACCAAGGCUUUGACGGGUAGCCGGCCUGAGAGGGUGACCGGCCACAUUGGGACUGAGAUACGGCCCAGACUCCUACGGGAGGCAGCAGUGGGGAAUAUUGCACAAUGGGCGGAAGCCUGAUGCAGCAACGCCGCGUGCGGGAUGACGGCCUUCGGGUUGUAAACCGCUUUCGCCUGCGACGAAGCGUGAGUGACGGUAAUGGGUAAAGAAGCACCGGCUAACUACGUG